Small nuclear RNA from Cavia aperea (Brazilian guinea pig), 112 nucleotides. Lineage: Eukaryota; Metazoa; Chordata; Mammalia; Rodentia; Caviidae. The record is from Ensembl.
GUGCUCAGUUCAGCAGCAUAUACACUAACAUUGUAACACUACAGUAAGGAGAAGAUUUGCUUGACCCCUACACAAAGAUAACCCCUAACUUUGUAAAGUGUUUCGUAUUUUU